AACAGAUUGUGGAUCUUGGGAAGUGUCCAGCCGUAGAACAGAAUCAGAACUCAGCAGAUACCACACCUAACCAUCUGGUAUUUUAGAAAUUUCAUACCAUAGGAAGGGUGCAGUAAGCCUUAUCUAACUGACAGAGAAAAGGGAAGUUUUCAGACAGGCAGCUACCGGGACACUGACUUCUCAGAGAUACUGAACAGCUUUGGGGAACUGAAAUAUUGGAAGUAGGAGAAAGAACAACAUAAAAAAAAACCAAAGGGACACCCCAUACCCUCCAUGGAGGAUCUGUAACAUGUUGGAAAAUCCAUAUUCACUCUCACUUCUCAUCACUCAUAGAGCUCCAGACCCUAAAUUUUGGAGAGAGCUUCUGCUGACAGAAUGAGUCUAGCAUAACGAGAAGGUUGUACAAAAAUGCUGUAACUUUCCCAAAGUCCAAGAGUUAAAUUAUGAAGAAUAAAAGCUAUUAUAGGUGUUCCAUCAUUCUUCUUAGGAUCGGCUGGUGCCUGGGGGUGGAAAAGCAGGUGCUUCCUUGAGGCUACAAGAGAUACCAAGCAGUCUAAAAGAAGCAAAGAAGAUUUAAGAAAGGCACGAGAGGCAUAGAAGGCUUCUUGUGUGGAGUAUUUUAACUGAGUAAUAAAGCUUAUUAUUGAA
Molecule: long non-coding RNA, 648 nt
Organism: Mastomys coucha (southern multimammate mouse)
Lineage: Eukaryota; Metazoa; Chordata; Mammalia; Rodentia; Muridae
Exons: 4
Source: RefSeq, a predicted model, not a curated record